Molecule: ribosomal RNA, 104 nt
Filed under: Lentzea alba
Lineage: Bacteria; Bacillati; Actinomycetota; Actinomycetes; Pseudonocardiales; Pseudonocardiaceae
Description: Lentzea sp. NEAU-D13 partial 23S ribosomal RNA
Rfam family: Bacterial large subunit ribosomal RNA (bases 23-104)
Source: RNAcentral
ACAGUGGAUGCGAGCAUCUUUGUAGCAAGUUAGUAAGGGCAUACGGUGGAUGUCUUGGCACCAGGAGCCGAUGAAGGACGUAGGAGACUGCGAAAAGUCUAGGG